CAAUCGAAAUUCGAUUCUGAUUCCAGAUUGAACCACAGGCCAUAGGAAUAAGUGAUUUGUUGCUAUUCCGAGUCUGAUUCCACCCUUAUUGUUGAAUAAGACGGAAGCACUUAUUGUCAAAAUUGCCUGUCCAUAAUUAUCAAAAAAUCGAUACUACCCCUGUAUGAAUAAGAUCUUUUUUGUUCACUUGACACUUGACAGUUUAGUGUUUACACUCUCCUGUGACUGGAAGCAGCGGUGGUGAAAGGAGCAAAACGAACCCCAGCGGCGGUGAAAAUCUCAUCACAGACUUUCAUAGGUGGCAUAAUGAUAGUGGCUUUGUCCACAAAUCAGCACAGGUUGAUCCGACUACACUCAUAGAAAUUGGUGCAGUAGUUCAUCCAAAAUUUUACUUGGUCAGCAUGUCCAUAUUGGAUCAGGAGCUGUUAUAGGAGGUGCUGUUGUUUUUGGGGAUUCGACAAAAUAAGAUUCUUCUUGCAGCUAAUAGCUGUGUUACCAAAGACAUUACUGAACCAGGAGACUAUGGUGGUUUUUCUUCGGUGCUUAUCAAUGAAUGGCGGAGACAAGUUGCUACCCAUCGUUGGAUAUUGAAGAAGGGCAUUGUUGACCUGCUUCCAUGCAAUAUAUCAUAUAUCAAUGAGGUCAUGUUGGUCCUCUACGGAUGACAACGUGAGCAUAUGUGCUCAUGGCUAUUUACCAAAGAUUGAGAGAAAUUUUCAUCAUUUCAAGCAAUGUUGACGAAUCCAUAUCUAUUCUGCAGCACAACUUAUAAGGCAAAGUAGAAAGAUUGCUGUUUUGCUGGGUUUGAA
Nelumbo nucifera (sacred lotus) is the source of this 809-nucleotide long non-coding RNA. RefSeq lists it as uncharacterized. The record is from RefSeq and is a predicted model, not a curated record. NCBI's taxonomy places the organism in Eukaryota, Viridiplantae, Streptophyta, Magnoliopsida, Proteales, Nelumbonaceae.